AGCAAAUACACGUGAACGUGCUUUAAAGGCAACUAAGUGCUAUUCAGAUAUAAUUAUUUGUCAUUUAUUGAUAAUGGUGAUCAUGAAGACAACCAUGAUGGUGACCACUGUGUCACCAGAGACACCUAAUCUAUGAACACUUCCAGGAGGGAUGCCAACAGCACAAAGGUCUCUGUGGAGAAAGCCACCGGGCAAAGUAUUUGGCAACUGCUGCUAAUCGAGUAGAAGGACGAAGCCAGACUCCAGACAAUCAAAGGCAGCGUGGAGUAGGAGGAAACGCAGACAUGUUCGAGCAUUCUAGCGGUGAAUUCGAACCAAGAAGCAAGAAAGAAGGCUGUCGUGGAGGGGUCAGUUGCAGGUCGUAUUUCUGAAUGACGAGCCGGUAGCUUUCUGCUGAAACCACGGGGGCCUGCUCUGGGACGAGCCCCCGGCUGCCGGAGUACGUGCAGGUGGGGUCUUACAAUAUUUAUGGACUUCAGACGCAUGCCCUCCGGAGCUCCAGGAGGCGAAAGCACAUUCCAGACGCAUAAAGGCUGAGUAUCCCUGCGUGAAACGCCACGGGAGGCCCGGGUCUCGGGGGAGGCCGGGUGGGUGCCGGUGGAGAUGAGGAGUCCAGAGCCUGAGGCCAACCGGCUUCGGGGCGGCACCUCCUGUGGCUCUUGGCAGAAAAGCCACAGAGAGACCCUUCCCUGAGGGGGUUAUUUAAUUUUCUCCUCACAUUAUUUAACGCGACCACUCUCGCGUACUCCUGUGGGAGCACGAGCAUAGCUGUCUGCUGGCUCUUUCCCUCCCCUGUUAAAGGCUGAACUCCUUCGGGUGACAGAAAUAGGUUACCCUUGUUUCGGAAGGUGCUAGAAGUAAAUCCAGCACUUCAUCGGUGUUCGUUAUACAAAAGGCGGCUUGUUCUCCGUGGCUGGGGUGACUGCAGUGCCUUUGGCCCCAGACCUUGGUCCCGGGCCUUUUGGCAAAGAGGGUUUACAAAGGAGUGACUGUAAUGAAGGAUAAAAGGCCACAGUCUGCUGAAGGUGAAGGGGUAGAGAACAGCAACUUUUGUGUCCUCGGGGCCAGGAAGAACCACCUGGGGCUUCUCGGGUGUGAGUUUAAUCUGCCAGUGACUGUGAUAAGGCAUCCUUUUUCCGGACACAUUAUCUGUCGCCACACCACACGGACCCUCACCAGCUGACAGGAUAGCAGGGGCCAUGCAGAGGCUGGGAGGGGGACGCCGGGAGAGCAGAAAUCAGGCAUUUUGCCAGUUAAGACAACGUCGGCUUCUGGUGGGUAAACCAGAGGUGAAAGCGGGGCACUGGGGCGGCUGGUUCGCCGUGAAUGAGGUUCCUGCUCACCUCAGAAGUGGGCAGAACACCCCAGGCGGCACUUCUCACGGAGGAGGGAGGCAAGAGGCAGUCCUAGCAUAUGUGAGGACAGCCUUUUUCCUGUGAAUUCAAGCUAUUUGGCGCUCUCAAUGGCAGGCCCCAAAGAAACAAAUGAUACUUUGAAGCCUCGACACUGAAAAUAUUUCUUCUGCAACCACGGAACGGAACAACAGGUGAUCUUAGGAGGCCCUUAAGAGUCAUUGAGCUCAAUGUCUGUGUCUGAACAACUUGGAGAGUGAGGGGCAGAGACCCCAGCUCUCAGCUUCUGGAAUCCAGGCCAUCUUUCCACUGCACCCUUGCGUCUGCUCUACGCUGUAGGGCGCUUUUGAGGAUGCACGUAGAAAAGCAAACCGCAGCCGUGGUUUCAUUGUGUAAUAAUAACCGUAUUAGCUGAGUUCUUCCAAUGGCUGUGACUUUGAGAAACUCCUGACAAUGUUCUGCUCCUCAAGGUCGGGAAUCUGUGCAUAUUUUUUCCUCCCGAGAUCUGUUGCUCAGGUCCCAUGUAUACAAUAUGGAUCAUCCUUCUAGUGAAUUCCUCUUUCUGCCCCAGUUCAUUCCUGUGGCUUCUACUUGAAGAACCCUAACUGAUACCCUCGCGUAUGUCGCAUUCAUUCAUUCAUUCAUUCGUUCUUUCACUCACCGUUUAUUUAGCACCACCACCUGCCAGGCACAGAUAUCAGUACCGAUGAAACAUGACUCCUGUCUUCAAGGACUUCAAGUUUAAUGGGGAAGAGAUACAAGUAAGAAGAAAGGCAGCAGCGCAGUUUGUAAGUGCAUGCCAGGGAACAGGAAGUGAAAGCAGCUGAGACUCCAUGGAGUCAGGGAAGGCUUCCAGAAGAGAGGUUGCUUACGUUAGGCUCUGAUGGGCAGGUAGAGGUGGCCCAAGCAGAGAGAAGGGCAGAGAUGCACUCCCUUUGGAGUGGAAAGCAUUGUACGAAGGUCCAAGGGUGUGCAGAAGCAGGGCACAUCUGAGGCUUAGCUCGCAGGUUAGCGGGACAUAGGACAGGCAUGGGGAUAUGGCAGAAGGGGCAGCUGGAGAGGUUGGCAGGCAGCCACCGGGCCAGGAUGUCUACUGGUGAUUAGCCAACGACACUGAACAUUCCCCCGGAGGAGCCGCUGAAAAGUUUUCAACAGGGAAUGCUCUGGUCAUGCUUGUAUGUUAGAAAAACUGCUCCAGCCUCAGCUGCACACUGAUUUGGGAGAACCUCGGUAGAGACCAGUCAACCGAGGGACAAGGACAGGGGUCUGAACCAAGUCACUUGUCAUGGGACUCCACGUGCUAAGGCUCAGACUGAGGAGAGAGGCCUCUAUUUGGAAAGUAGACUCUUUAGAGCAUAUUCAUCUAGAUGGACGGAUGAGAACAAAGAAAAAACCAGAAGAUGGAGUCCCACUGUGCCCUUCCUUCUCUGUCGCCUCCUGCAUCUAAUCGGAUCGUGUCAUGUUUCUGGCUCAACUCUUUCCAUGAUUUUCCUUAGCUUUCAGGAAAAAGUUCAUACCCUUGGGUUAAUCAAAUAAAGCGUUUUCUAAUCUGG
Molecule: long non-coding RNA, 2905 nt
Organism: Herpailurus yagouaroundi (jaguarundi)
Lineage: Eukaryota; Metazoa; Chordata; Mammalia; Carnivora; Felidae
Exons: 2
Source: RefSeq, a predicted model, not a curated record